Molecule: long non-coding RNA, 260 nt
Organism: Sardina pilchardus (European sardine)
Lineage: Eukaryota; Metazoa; Chordata; Actinopteri; Clupeiformes; Clupeidae
Exons: 3
Source: RefSeq, a predicted model, not a curated record
UGACUCCCGGUGCGUUCCGUCUUCUUCUCGAGGGGGUUUCUGUCAGUUGUACCACAGGCCAAUGUACAGCUGUGCUGGUGAGAUUCCUGACCAAACGUUUCAUUGGAGAGUAUGCUUCAAAUGCUAACUCUCUAUACCACAAGAGGCUCUCAAUUGAUGGCAGACAGUUGAAUCUGGAGGUGUUUGACCCCUGCUCAGAGGUGAGGUAAUUAAGUGUACCAAAUACGAGAGUGUGUUAUUACUGAAGGGUGUAGAGCUAC